GCUUGUCUCAAAGAUUAAGCCAUGCAUGUCUAAGUGUAAAUACGUCUACACUGUGAAACUGCGAAUGGCUCAUUAAAUCAGUUAUCGUUUAUUUGAUGAUCUCUCGUUACAUGGAUAACCGUAGUAAUUCUAGAGCUAAUACAUGCAUCAAACCCCGACUUCUGGAAGGGGUGUAUUUAUUAGAUGGAAACCAAUCGAGGGAAACCUCGGGAUAUGGUGAUUCAUAAUAACUUUCGGAUCGAUUUAUCGAUGCAUCAUUCAAGUUUCUGCCCUAUCAGCUUUGGAUGGUAGGGUAUUGGCCUACCAUGGCUUUAACGGGUAACGGAGAAUUAGGGUUCGAUUCCGGAGAGGGAGCCUGAGAAAUGGCUACCACAUCCAAGGAAGGCAGCAGG
This 392-nucleotide ribosomal RNA is filed under the name uncultured Chrysophyceae. Its description in RNAcentral is "partial small subunit ribosomal RNA". It matches the Rfam family "Eukaryotic small subunit ribosomal RNA", at positions 30 to 432 of the family's 1831-position model. The record is from RNAcentral. Lineage: Eukaryota; Chrysophyceae.